This 58-nucleotide microRNA precursor is filed under the name Sarcophilus harrisii (Tasmanian devil). RNAcentral's name for it is "Sha-Mir-7371-o4-v1_pre stem-loop". Lineage: Eukaryota; Metazoa; Chordata; Mammalia; Dasyuromorphia; Dasyuridae. The record is from RNAcentral.
CCUUUGUACUAGAUACUUUGUUGUGUAAAUAUUAAAUAGAGCAUCUGGUACAAAGGAG